CCUACGGGCGGCAGCAGUAGGGAAUCUUUCACAAUGGGCGAAAGCCUGAUGGAGCAACGCCGCGUGCAGGAUGAAGGCCUUCGGGUUGUAAACUGCUUUUAUAAGCGAGAAAUAUGAUGGUAACUUAUGAAUAAGGAUCGGCUAACUACGUGCCAGCAGCCGCGGUCAUACGUAGGAUCCGAGCAUUAUCCGGAGUGACUGGGUGUAAAGAGUUGCGUAGGUGGCAUAAUAAGUAGCUAGGGAAAUCUGGUGGCUCAACAAUUCAGACUGUUAGCUAAACUGUUAAGCUCGAGACCGUUAGGGGUAACUGGAAUUUGUGGUGUAGGGGUGAAAUGCGUAGAUAUUAGGAAGAACACCGAUAGCGUAGGCAGCUUACUGGGACGGUUCUGACACUAAGGCACGAAAGCGUAGGGAGCAAACGGGAUUAGAUACCCGGGUAGUC
This 442-nucleotide ribosomal RNA is filed under the name uncultured bacterium. Its description in RNAcentral is "partial 16S ribosomal RNA". It matches the Rfam family "Bacterial small subunit ribosomal RNA", at positions 338 to 795 of the family's 1533-position model. The record is from RNAcentral.